Small nucleolar RNA from Humulus lupulus (European hop), 107 nucleotides. NCBI's taxonomy places the organism in Eukaryota, Viridiplantae, Streptophyta, Magnoliopsida, Rosales, Cannabaceae. The record is from RefSeq and is a predicted model, not a curated record.
AUUCCAUGGUGGGGACAUUUUCUCAACAACUCCUUAAAGCGCUCCCAAGCACCAUACAAUGACUCCCCAUCCAUCUGAUAAAAAUUAUUGAUGUCGCCCCUCAAUUU